AUCCAGCUGACCAGUCCCAAACGGGACGGAACGGGCAUCCUGGAU
Molecule: non-coding RNA, 45 nt
Organism: Schistosoma rodhaini
Lineage: Eukaryota; Metazoa; Platyhelminthes; Trematoda; Strigeidida; Schistosomatidae
Source: Rfam